This 224-nucleotide ribosomal RNA is filed under the name uncultured bacterium. RNAcentral describes it as "partial 16S ribosomal RNA". It matches the Rfam family "Bacterial small subunit ribosomal RNA", at positions 147 to 353 of the family's 1533-position model. The record is from RNAcentral.
CAGACGGAAACGACUGCUAAUACCGAAUAAGUUCCAAGAGCCGCAUGGCCCAUGGAGAAAAGGUGGCCUCUACCUGUAAGCUAUCGCCUGAAGAGGGGUUUGCGUCUGAUUAGCUGGUUGGAGGGGUAACGGCCUACCAAAGCAACGAUCAGUAGCCGGCCUGAGAGGGUGAACGGCCACAUUGGGACUGAGACACGGCCCAAACUCCUACGGGAGGCAGCAUG